This 490-nucleotide ribosomal RNA is filed under the name uncultured bacterium. RNAcentral describes it as "partial 16S ribosomal RNA". It matches the Rfam family "Bacterial small subunit ribosomal RNA", at positions 30 to 507 of the family's 1533-position model. The record is from RNAcentral.
AUUGAACGCUGGCGGCAGGCCUAACACAUGCAAGUCGAACGGUAACAGGAAGCAGCUUGCUGCUUUGCUGACGAGUGGCGGACGGGUGAGUAAUGUCUGGGAAACUGCCCGAUGGAGGGGGAUAACUACUGGAAACGGUAGCUAAUACCGCAUAACGUCGCAAGACCAAAGAGGGGGACCUUAGGGCCUCUUGCCAUCGGAUAUGCCCAGAUGGGAUUAGCUAGUAGGUGGGGUAACGGCUCACCUAGGCGACGAUCCCUAGCUGGUCUGAGAGGAUGACCAGCCACACUGGAACUGAGACACGGUCCAGACUCCUACGGGAGGUAGCAGUGGGGAAUAUUGCACAAUGGGCGCAAGCCUGAUGCAGCCAUGCCGCGUGUAUGAAGAAGGCCUUCGGGUUGUAAAGUACUUUCAGCGGGGAGGAAGGGAGUAAAGUUAAUACCUUUGCUCAUUGACGUUACCCGCAGAAGAAGCACCGGCUAACUCCGUG